UUGAACUAAAAAUCAUAAAUUUGAACCGUAAAAACAUCAUAACCACAAGUGGUUCUAUAUAUAUUACACACACACACACACACACACACACACACUCUAGUCUCCAUUAAGUCAAAAUAUAACGAUCAAUCCCAUUUAUUUUGAACAUACUUAUCAAGGUCCAAAAUUAUGAAAUCAACCUUAAUUCCUUAUGUCCGAUUUUGCCUGUUGAGUAUAAUUGUAAGUAUUAAAAUAGUAAGAGGAUUUUUUUUCACGUGCUUAUAUGUGUAGGAGUUCGAUUUAAGAUUAUUCAGAUCUGCUAUGAACUUUCUAGCCUGGGAUUGAUAGAAACUGGGUUAAUAUUUCAAAUUCGAUUUAUAUUUUUCGUUUUAUUUCAAUUAUUAGCUUCCUUCUUUCUUUCUUUCUUUCUUUUUUCCCCACUAACUAGCUUUUUACCCAAAACAAAAUUUAGUUUAAAUAACAAAUAGAAAGAAAAUGGUUUUCUUUUUUGAAAUAAUUGGAUUACUAUGGGUGAAUUGAUAUUUUCUAAAAAUAAAAAUGAGAAUGAAAAUUAUGUUUUGCAGUUGCUAAAUUUUGAAUUUAAGCAUAAGUUUGGUAUUAUUUUCUAUAACUUGUACUUUAAAACUGAAAACAUUAAUAUGUAUUCGGUAGACAUUAUUGAAAAUAAUUAAAACAAUGAAUAUGUGUUCGGUAGAACAAUCCUAUAAAAGUAAAAUUUUAGUAAAUAUAUUAUCUUAACAUUUAAAUAUAAUUAAUUUGUUUUUCCAUGCUAUAUGAUAAAAAAUUGUAAAAUUUUGAUCAUUCAAAAUUCUUUUUUAACUAGUCAAACGAAGAAUCAUAAUGAAUACAAGCAGAAUUUUAUACAAGAUAAAGUUAGCUUAUAAGAUUCAGUAUACAUUUUAUAAUAAGUAAGGGCAAAACAAAGUUAAGAAGAACAUUGUUAGUUAUCACCGUGUUACUGAAUCCAGGAAAAAUUGAGAGCAACCAAAACAAAAUCCAAGUUACUCAAUGGGUCACACUGUAUAAGUGUUCAAAUUAAUCUAUCAUGAGUAGUCAUCCAUUCUUUUGCUUCUUGAUAUAUCACAUGGUCUAACUUGGAUACUUUUUGUUACUUUCAUCUUUGUAAAAAUGCCCAAACAUCUGUUUAAUAAUCCCAUUAAUUUGAACAAAUAAAACUAGCUAGCUCCCUAAACACCCAUUGAGUUUGCAGUAUUUUCAUGUAGCAACAGAACCAAAUUUUAUAGUAAUUUCUUAUUUUUCUAAAGUAAUAGUUAUUUCCUAUUUUUUAAAGUAAUUUCAUACGUGUUUAAUUACAUUGAUCUGAAUUAAUCAACUGUAAGGUGAUUUAAGAAGAUGAAGGAAAAAAAAAAAGGAAUUUACGGAAGAAGAGGCAGAAGAAAUGGUCAAAGAAGAUGAUGAAAAGAAGAAAGGAUGAAGAAGAUGCGGUAUAAAAGAAAUGAAAGAAAGAUUUUUAUAUUGUUUAUUUUUUAUGUCUUGAAGUUUGUUCAGGGAAUUGUUUUGUAGAAUGAAGAAAACGUGCAAAUCUUUUUUUCUUUAAAUUUAUACCUGCAAAAAUUUUAUUUUUUAAAACAAUAUUUGAUCGGCUUGUAACCGGUUAAAUAUAAUUUAAUUAAAUUUUUUGUUAUAUUAAAAUAAUUAUGAAUCGUUGAUCUAAUUUAAUGGCCCAUAAUAAUUACUGUAUUAAUGCUGUGAUUUUAAUCACUAGCAUCAUAGAAUUUUCCUUCUUUUUAAUGUGGUGGUUAUAUUGAGUUGAGGAUAUUAUUAGAUUAUUAAUAGAAUGAUAAUUAAGAUCUUAACUAUAAUUCUAACAUGACUCAGGGCUUGGAUUAAAUGUAGCUUCUUAUGCAGAAUUGUGAUUGUAGAAACAGUGAUGCUAUUAGUACUAACACUAUUUCAGAAUCCUUACAAGACCAAGUUCUAAGUAAUGACAUUUUACCCUUGAAGAAUUCACCAAUGUGAAAUUCAUUAGUUUGAAUUACGGUAUAAGUGAGGAUUAAUUAUAAUUAUUUUUAAAAUUAUUAGGUAAAAGGAGAGAAUUAAAAUCACUUUCACGUGUUAACACGAGAGCUAAAGAUAUUUGUUGAAUAAAAAUGGAUGUGCUUAGAAGUGAGUGAGUUAGCUGUGUGAAUUUCACUUAAUAGAUCGAGGGUUUAAUAAGAAUUUUGAAGGGCUGAGAAGCCUCACUCUCGUAGAAUAGCAAGAUUUCAAAAACCUCAGAAGGACUUAUAUACAGUGUAUGUGUGCGUGUAUAUAUGUAUAUGUAAACACACACACAUACGGGCCAAGCUAUGUUGGUCCACCUCUGGCCGAAGAGACUAACCGUCGCUAGCCAUCAAGAAUGUUUGCACGUGCGUUUAAGAGAUAAUGAUGCCAAUGAAGUUAUUUCAUUCAUGCCGGGACUGACCACCGGCGGUGAAUAAUUGAUGGAUAAGAUGCUUUACAAAAUUUGAGAAUCCAAGGACAAUAAUGUCCAAAAAUCAGGAUUUUGGCUAAAAAGAGUAAGAAAAAAAAUUGAGGUUAGAAAUAUCUGAUCGGAUUGGGAUUGGUAGCUUCAUGAGAAAUUUUAAAAUUUCUUCUAAAUAUAAUGUUAGUCAUAUAACAAAUAAAUAAAAUUAUGAUACGUGUAUAUUUAUUUUAAAGAAUUUACUGAUUAUAUAAAAUUUAAUUAUACAUAUUAUACAUAUAUUAGUUAUAUUAUCUCUAAUGUAUUUUUAAAAUUCCUCCUGAUCUGAUUGGCAAGCUAACUAAGAAAAAAAAAAUUGAUCAGUUGACUAGCCCUAAACCUAAUUUUGAUAUCUCGCCAACAAUCACUCACAGCUCACAGCCGCUCUUCACCUCUCACCAAGCACCCAGCUCCACCGCACCAAGGGAUAGAACCUUUCCACCGCAAUUCACGGGAUUUUGCCCAGCCCAAGUAUUUUAUCAUUACUUUAUUACAUUUUUAGUUCCACCAUCAUUCAAUCAGUUUCUCAGCUAAUUUUGAACGUGAAUUUUUUUUCAAUUCAUUAUUAUCUUAUAUUUUCCCACAGUAAAUUCAAUUACUGAUGAAAGGGGAAGUGAAAAAAAAAAAAUUGCAUAUUCAUGAUAUCACACAUGCUUCAUCCACAUGUCUAUUCCCAUUUGUUUCUUUCCUUGAUGAUUCUGAGCACCGAAAAUGAUAGAUUCUCUCCUAAUUGUUUAAAUUUAGUGAAAGAAAUUAGUUUAAUUGUAAAUGAUAUAAAAAAAUUAACUUGAUUGUAACAUUUAAAAUUCAACACAUUCAUAUUUUGUCGAUGUUUACCUCCAGUAAAAGAAAUACAGAUAGCAGAACAUAGCAUGAGCAAGAUGGAACUUAGCAUGCUAGUUAAUUAUUGUGGAUGAGUAUUUUGUACAGCACAUCGGUACGAUACUUUAACAACUCUUAUCUGAAAGUUACUAAAUAAGAAUUGAGUUUCUCAAGUAAGUUAGCAUGCUUGUGGAAGAGACGGAGAGAAAAUAGAGCCAUUAAGCUAAGAGAGAAUUUAUAUCAUUCACAAGAGAGUUUGUAUAAAUAUCCUUGAGAGCUUACGAAAUAUAUUUAGUUACUUACAAGUUGCUUGAUCUAGAGCCUUUACAUUGAUAACAAUCUCUAACGUAUGCUUGUAUCUAUAGAGUUGGCUAUUACUCUAACUUGAGCAAAUAUUUUCAACAAAUAUUCUAGCUUAAUUAGUGGAACAAAUCAAGGCUUACUACUGCUUUAAGGUAAGAAUUGUCUAAGUAUCAUGAGCACCAUACGAAAUGUGCUGAACAAAAUACUCAUGCUGUGACGUAACUCUCAGUUUUUUAAUGUGUACAUGUAUAUACAGCGGCUCACACAAGACAAAACAGGGGUGCAAUAUAAUAUUAUGAUUGGGAAUAGUGUAUGGGCUGUUUAGCCGUAAUUUCGGUUGAAGUGCCAAACAACAACUUUUUUUUUUCCCCGACAUAAAUCUCCUUCAAAAUUAUUAAAAAAUAUUGAUUAAUGUAGUUCUGACUUUACUGUUCACACGCCAUUUUCUUCAUUGUCAAGUUUCGUUCCCGUCGUCCUACACAAUGCAAAUCCUUGUACUUUUUGCUUGAACUGCUCUUUUUUCCUUUUUUAUUAAAUAGCUUUUUUUUUUACUCUUUUUUUUUAUAUUAAAUAUAGAAGGGAAGUAAGGAUUUAUUCAAGGUAUCUAGUUAAAAGUAAGGAUUUAUUCAAGGCAUCUAGUAAACUUUCGAACUAAUGUAUAUAAAAAGGUCGAAAAAUCUAAUUUUUCCACCACCAUCAUAUUUAUUUAGUUUAAGGAAAAUUAUCAUUCGUAUACCCUAUAAAUGCUCUGUUAUUAAAAAUACUACAACACUUUGAAGGUGUAUCAAACGUCCACCCUAAGUUGGCAAAAUGUAUCUGUCAUCCACCAGACCGUAACUUGUUGUUUAAAUAAGAUAACAUCGGAGGAGUAAUUGGUCUUUUCAUAUGAUACAAGUGAUAAUUUAAGGGUAUACAAGUGAUAAUAAAAAAAAUUUAAGGGUAUACAAGUGAUACUUUUCAAGAGUAAAAUCGUCAAUUUGCUAUAAUGUUGUUAACUUUCAAACGGCAACUAACGGUUUGAUGGUCGGUAGAUAACUUUUAUUAAUUUAGGCUGGACGAUUGAUAGACCCUCAAAGUGUUGUGGUACUUUUGAUAAUAGAAUAUCUAUAGGGUAUACGAAUGAGAAUAUCCUCUCCUCACCUCAUUCUUAAAAUUUAAAAUUAGGGUCAACCUAUAUGAUUAGUGGGAGCAGAAAUUUCAUAUUAUAUACAUUGAGAGAAAUUCUUCUAAACCAUCCUAGAGGUAGAAUUAAUUAGUAAAUCCAAUAUCAGACUAAUUUUCGCAUGUAUCAUUUGACUAAAAAUCUUAAACAUUAAAUAAAGAAACUUGGAUCCUCAGUAUUUAAUCUAACAUCUCUAGAGGUUGUUAAAGAUUUUAACACGUAUGCCAUCCAAAUAUUUUUAUUAAGAAGAUUUAAAUUACUCUUAUUUUUCCUUCUUAAAAAAAUAUUUUCAAUCUUCAAAAAAAUCUAAAAUUAACGUACUACCAAUAGACGUUAACUCCCCAUUUUUUAUUGUGGUCACCACUUCUUACCUUAUUCUUUUUUUUUCUUCGAGCUAAGAGCAAAUUAAAUCUAUGAAUUUUUAAACGACAUGUGUUAAGAUCCCCAUAGAUCUUAGUAGAUGUUAGAUUAGAAGAGGAUUUGACUAUAAGCUUAUAAAGUUGGGAUAUAAGAAAGUUGAUACAAAUGGCACUUGAUGUGUUAUCAAUUUAUUAGUGUUGUGAAAUUAUCUCAUUAAUGGUUUAUAAAAAUGAUGAACGAAACUUUUGUAAUAGAAAUGCCUCCAAUAGUCAUAAUUAUAAUAUUGUGAACCUAAAUUAAUGUUUUAUCCCCUUCCUCGAUACAAAUUCGGGCAGUCAACUAAAUAAACAUACUAGAAAACCAUUCGCACUCGCAUUCUUCAUUGAGCUAAUCAUAGAAUUAGUUAACUUCCUUUCUAUUUUUUCAAUUUGUUUUGAUGGAUAAAUUCUCAUUUAGACUCUAUAUUUUGACCUAAGUGCCUAUUUAGUCCUUAUAUAUUAAUUUUAAACACAUAUUAAUGGUUCUUGUUGGUAGAGAAAAUUUUAAAACCCAAUUCGCUCCUCUCUUAGGUUUUUUAGCUAAAAGUUUCAAUGGUCGUUGGUAAUUAUUCGAUGAUAGAGGCAUAACUUUAUACAAAUUUAUUUUCUACAAACUAAUAUGACAUUACUAUAUUGGCCAAACAAAAAGAAAAAUAAAUGAUCCAUAUGAUUUAUUUUAACCAGUGUAAUUGUAAAUUGAGUAGUGCUAUAUAUUCUAAAUUUUUUAGUCGAAAAACUAUCUUAAAUGAUGUGGAUUUCAUCAAUUAGUUGGUGAGAUAAUACAAUUAUGGUGCAUUUACUAAUCAGUAAUCGAAAUUGGUUGGAAGAAAAAUGGAUGGGAAUUGACUUAGGCUAGAAUCGGAAUGGAGAAUGGAAAUCAGAAUAAAUUGUUUGCUUUUAACUGUACGAAUGAGAAUGGGAAUGAGUUGUAUUGCCACUCACGUAUUUACUUUAUCUUGAAAUCAAAAUGAAUUGUUGUAAGUUACUAAAAUGACCUUAGUUGAUUCUUGUCAUAAUUUAUUAUAAUAAUUGUGAUUAUUUUUAUUCAAAAACUAAUUAUUGUUAAUAUCAACAACAAUAACAUAACAACAACAACAACAACAAUAAUUGUUAAAAUUAUAAUAAUAAUAAUAAUAAUUAAUUUUAUUAUAUUAGUUAAUAGUAUUGUUGUUGCUACUGCUGUUGUUGAUGCUAUUAUGAUGAUGAUGAUCAUCAUCAUUAAUUUUAUUAUAACUAAUUAAUGAUUAUUGUUUUCACCAAAUUCUCACUAGUAUUCGAUUUAAACCAAUUAGGUUGUUCUCACCAGAUCUAGUUCAAAUCCGAUUCAAACAAAUUAAUUCAUAUUUACGGGGAGCUUGUGCUAAGUUUGGGUUUACGUGUAUUUUUCUUAUGCUUAGGGCAAGUGGCAUAGUUGAGGUACACUAGAUGCUGAUCUAAAGUGAUCUGCGUGAUAAGCUAAGGUGGGCAUAUAAGGAAUAAUAAAGAGAUUUCAGGUAAGCUUAUACAUGAAAAACAAUUUUGACCUCAUAUUGAAAAUAUAGUAAAACAAACCUAAAUAUAAAAAACACAUAACGUUUACAUGAUUCUGUUUUUAGUUUACAUCUACUGGAGUAAGUCAUCAUCAAUCCACUAUAUAAAUAAAAUGUUAAAUAAGAGUUUACAUUAUCCAAGAUGAAUAAGAUGAAUAACACAAGCUAGAUAGCUAUAUAGAGAUGCUUGGUGUGAUAAAGAUGAAGAUGGUGGAGAAGAUGAUGAAUGUAGAGAAUAGAAAUGGCCUCCUAAAAUGAAGAAGUGAGUGAUGAUAUAAAAGAAGGAGAGAGAGUGAGAGAGAGGAACCCCACAAAUAUGAGUUGAAUAAGGCAUUUAUGAAUGCUAGUUGUAAGAAGAGAGCAUAAAAGUUAGGGAUAUAUGUCAUCUUUAAGUUAAAAUGAGAGAAUUUUUUUAGGACUGUGUAUCAUAUUUAAGGAAACGAAACAAUAAUAUUUCUUUUGUACUAAGUUUACUAUUUCGCGUAAAUAUCUUAGAGUGUCCAAAUUUGACCAUUGAUUUCCAAGCCCAUCCAAUAUAGUAAAUUUUUCCAAAUGACAUCUUUAUACUACUUCAAGUAUUUUAUCCGCUUUGCCCUUGUAAUUGUCCACACGUCAUUCAUUUCUUGAUCUAAAAAUAUCCUUCCACAUUUACACCCAAACAAUUAUUAUUAUUCUUAAAAUUAUUAUCACCAUUAUUAUUAUUAAUUUUGUUAUCAUUAAUUAUUAUUAUUACUAUUAACAAUAACAAUAACAAUAACAAUAACAAUAAUAAUAAUAAUAAUAGCAGUAAUAAUAUAAUAAUAUAAUAUAUUAUUAUUUUUAUUCAGGACAAAUGUGAAAUUAUGAAAUUUGAGUGAAGGUAAAAUGAGAAGGUCAACAAAUGAGAAUUUGAUUCCAACCCUCCUCAUGAGAAUCGAGUUCCCAUUUUUUAAUGCCAAAAUUAUGUGGGCCCCACAUAUUUUAUUCUCAUUUCUACUUUUAUUUAGCCAAUACAAACUAUCAAUCAUUCUAUUCAUUCUCCAAUCUGAGAUAUAAACGCACCAUUAAUUUAAUUGGAUCUUAUUAAAAAUUACCAAACACUCAAUUAAUGAUAUAUCAUUUGGAAUAGAAUUUGAGAUGUUUAUCAUUACUCUUAAAAAUUUAUACAAAAUUAUGGCUCUCAACUAUAAUGUGGUGGUUAUAUUAAAUGAGACGAUAUUCAAUUAUAAAAUAGAGAUACUAGGGAUCUCAAUUAUAAUUCUAACAUGAAUUGGACUUGGAUCAAAUGACUUCUCAUAUGUGGAUUGUGAUUGUAGAAAGAGUGAUGCUGCUAACACUCCUUUAGAAUCCCUAUAAUACCUUCAGUUUUAUUUGUUGAUAAUUUUAUCCUUGAGAAUUGCAAUACUGAAUCGUGAACACCCCACUUCUUCAUUUUCAGAUUUUUAUUGAUUAAAAAAUGCUUGUAUUGACAUCCUUUCAAGAGGCUUCUUCAUUAGCAAACAAUAAAACUAAUUGAACAGGAUUUGGAUCUUAUUUCCAACUUUGAUUGAAGCUAUAUAUAUAUACGGAUUAACAGCGCUCUAAACUUACAUUUAUUUUUUAUACUAGUUUGAAACCAUUAGAUUUAAGACAUAUUAAUGAUCAAGAUUUUGGAAAAUUAAUAACAUAAAUGCUUAACAACAAUAGUAAUUAAUGUACUUUCUCUCUCCACGUCAGUAUCCUUGUAAAACAUGAUUUCUCUGUCCUAAGUUUUCUCAGUACCUUUUUAUGUUUUUCUCUUGUCAUUGCUAAGCCUUUAAGUUUGCCCGUUGAAUGUAAAAAAAAUCCGCAAACAGGAAUGACUUGCUUAGUCAUAGGACGCUAUUGCACAACAAGAACAUAUCCAUCAUUAAAUCAUUCACAAAUGGAUAUUUGAUUUCUCGACUUAAGUUCGUGUUCUUACAUCAUGUUUAUUAUAAAUUGCUGAUUGCCUAAACAUUCACUGAUUGUCUUCACUAUUAAACAAAGAAAUCAAGAUAGAGAAAGAAUAAGUAUUUUUCAUAGAAAGAGUAAAUAUUUUUCUUAAAUUGAAUAAAUCUAUUGCUGCUUCUUGUUUGCUUCUCGCUUAUUCAUCACCAUUUGCACCCAUAAUCUUAAGAGUAAUUUUGAUUUUGAUGAGGAAAGAAAGAACAAUUAAUGAAGAGAGAAAAAACAAAAGUGAAAAUAUUAGUGAAAAGGAGAUAACAAAUAAGAGAGAAGCAAAAUCUUAAUCAAAUAUUCAUCACGUCCCACAAAAUCUUGGCCGUUGAUAUGCAUUAAAUCUAAUGGUUAUAAAUUGGUGUACAAAUAUGUGUAAUUUUAGGGGGCUGCUAGUGUGUGUGUAUAUAUAUAUAUAUAACCAAAUGAGAGCUCAUGAUUUUUUUAUCGGUUCAAAUACAUCCAAUAUAAUUUGAAGAAAUCAUUAAUGUAAAAUUCAUUAAUUUGAAUUAUAGUAAAAGUGAGGAUUAUUUAUAAUUAUUUUUGAAAAUAUUAUGUAUAAGGUGAGAGAAUCAAAAUAUUAUGAAUGAUGAAAGGGAGGUGAACAAAAAAAAAAAAAAAAUGCAUAGCCAUGAUAUCACACAUGCUUCGUCUAGAUAUCUAUUAUCAUUUGUUUGUUUACUUGAUGAUUCUAAGUACCAAAAAAUUGUGGAUUAGGAGUCUCUUUUAGAGUUUUUUUCCUCUUAAUUUUUUAAAUUUAGUGAAAGAAAUUGAUUUAAAUUUAAAAUUUAAUUUCGAUCACUUAUUUUAGUAGGAACGAUUAAUGGAGAAAUAAUACUAGGAAAGAAUCUUUAUCCAAAAAUUAUCAUUUAAAACUUUUACAAAAUGGAUGAUACAAGAAAUCUAAUCUGAUUUUAACCUGAAGUCAAUUAGAUUGGAUUGGAUUGACUUCCGUUACCAAAAUCAAGGAAUUCGAAUUAGCCUUCAAGAAUAUUAAAUAAAUAAAUAAAUAAAUUAUUAUAAACCUCAAUUUAUAUUAUUUUUUAUUCAAAAGACAAGCAACAAAUGGGUGUAUAUUGACAAUUUUUUUAAUAAAAAUAAUGGAUUGUUAAGAUUUACAGUAAUAUGGGGAGUAUUUUAAAGACUACAUUUUAUGAUAGGGUAAUCCAAAAUUAUCCCCCAAAAUAAGUAAAAUUUUCCUCUUUUUUGCUAAAAAUAAUAUUUAUCUAUAUUUGUGUCAUUCUUCUCAAAUAGAUGGUAGUUCGCACGUUCAUAUUUUGUCAAUAUUUACCAAAAGUAAAAGAAAUACAAGUAACAUCACAUGGCAUCAGUAAAAUGGACCUUAGCAUGAUGCUACCUAAUUGUCAUGGGAUAAGUUUUUGUGCAGCAUACUCCCGCGGUACUUAAACAAUAUUUAUUCGAAAGUUGCCAAGUCUUGAUCUCUUCGACUAGUUAAAUUAGAAUGCUUGCAAAAGAAUCAAAAAGAAGUUAGAGCAAUUGAGGCAAAGAGAGUUUGUACUAUUAAUUUAUAAGAGUGUGUGCGUGUGUAAGUAUGCUUGAGAAUUUAGAGAAUGCUUUGAAUUGCUCACAAGUUGCUUGAUCUUGUGGUGCCUCUACACCACUAACAAUUUUUCGUGAGGUGCUCGGAUUCAGAGAGUUGGCUAUUACUCUUAUGUGAGCUUGGUUGGCAGGUGAGUGCAAAUCUUAACGCUAACAUCACUUAUUAGAAGAUGAGUAUUUUCUGCAAAUAUUGUAACUUAGUUAAUCAAGAAGCUUAAGGCUUAAUAACUUUUAGGUAAAGGUUGUUUAAGUACCCUACAAAUGAAUGUGCUGUGUAGAAUACUCAUGACGUAACAUAAUACUUGGUUUUUAAUGUAUAUAGAGUAAUGAUACAGCCACAAACUCUUGUACAAACUUAUUUUGUACAAACUGAUGUGGCAUGAUAAGAUUGGUUGAAUUAAUAUCACUUGACCCACAUGAUUUGUUUUUAUUAAUUUAUAUUUUCAUUCAACCAAUGAAUUAAUACCACAUCAGUUUGUACAAAAAUUUAUGACUGUAUCAUUACUCAUGUAUAUAUAGAGAGAGAGAGAACAGCGGUGCAAUAUAAUAUUAUGAUUGGGAAUAGUAAGUGGGCUGUUUAGCCGUGAUUUCGAUUAACGCCAAACAACAACUUUUUUUUUUUUUUUUGGGUGACGUAAACUUCCUUCAAAAUUAUUACAAAAUAUUAAUAAUGUAGUACUGCCUUUACUGUUCACACGACAUUUUCUUCAGUUUCAAGAAAACGUGACCUUACUUGCGAGUUUCAUCCCCGUCGUCCUACACAACGCAAAUCCUUGUAGUUUUUGUUUUAAACUUUUUAUUCAUUAUUUUUUUUAUAUUUUUUUUACUUUUUUCUUUUUUUUUUUAACAAAUCAUUAAAGUAAGGAUUUAUUGAAGGUAUAUAUUUCCUUUCAAACUAAUAUAUAUAUCACUGUUGAAAUAUCUAAUUUUUCCACCACCAUCAUAUUUCUUUGGUUUAAUAAUCGAUAGCUCUUCACCUCAUUCUUAAAAUUUAAAGUUUGAAUCAACCUUUAUGAUUAGUGGGAGCAGAGAUUUCAUAUUAUCUACAUUAAGAGAAGUUCAACUAAGCCAUCCUAUAAGUACAUUUGAUUAAUAAAUCCAAUACCAGAUUAAUUGUUAGAUAUACAUUUGACUGAAAAUCUUAAAUGUUAAAUAAAGAAACUUGGAUCUUUGAUAUUUUAUCUAACAUCUAUAGAGGUUUGUUAAAGAUCUUAACAGAUACGUAGUUCAAAUAUUUUUAUUAAGACGAUUUAAAUUACCCUUAUUUUUCAUUCUUAAAAAAAAUUGUUUUCAAUCUCAAAAUAAAAUUCUAAAAUCAACUUUCUACAAUAGAAGUUAACUCCCCAUUUUUUAUUGCCUUCACCUCUUCUUACCUUGUACCCUUUUUUUUUUCCCUUGAAGCUAAGAGCAAGUUAAAUCUAUAAUUUUUUAAAUGACAUGUGUUAAGAUCUCCAACAAAAAUCUUCGAAGAUAUUAGAUCAAAAAAAGAUUUAGUGAUAAGCUUAUAAAGUUAGGAUGUAAGAAAGUUAAGAUAAAAAACUUGUAUUUGUGAUACUUUAUGUGUUAUUAAUUUAUUAGUGUUAUGAAAUUAUCAUAUUAAUGAUUUAUAAAAAAUAAUGAACAAAACUUUUGUAACAGAAAUCCUUCGAGUAGUCAUAAUUAUAAUAUUGUGAACUCAAAUUAAUUUUUUUACCCCCUUCCUCCCUAGUAUAUGAACUCAGGUGAUCAUUUAAAUAAAUAUACUUAAAAACCAAUCACACUCGUGUUCUUGAUUUAACUAAUCAUAGAAUUAGCUAACUAACUUUCUUUUUCUUUUUUAAAUUUAUUUUGAUGGGUAAAUUCUCUUUAAUCAUUAUAUUUUGACUUAAGUGUCCAUUUAAUUCUUAUAUAUUAAAAAAUACAUCAAAACACCGUUGCAAUUAAAUAUGUUACAUUCUUAUCAUUACUUUUUCUU
Molecule: long non-coding RNA, 12127 nt
Filed under: Citrus x clementina
Lineage: Eukaryota; Viridiplantae; Streptophyta; Magnoliopsida; Sapindales; Rutaceae
Description: Citrus clementina (C. clementina) long non-coding RNA (CCLE_LNC002552)
Source: RNAcentral